ACACAUGCAGUCGAGCGGAACGACGGGAGCUUGCUCCCGGGCGUCGAGCGGCGGACGGGUGAGUAACGCAUAGGAAUCUGCCCGGUAGUGGGGGAUAACCUGGGGAAACUCAGGCUAAUACCGCAUACGUCCUACGGGAGAAAGCAGGGGACCUUCGGGCCUUGCGCUAUCGGAUGAGCCUAUGCCGGAUUAGCUGGUUGGUGGGGUAACGGCUCACCAAGGCGACGAUCCGUAGCUGGUCUGAGAGGAUGAUCAGCCACAUCGGGACUGAGACACGGCCCGAACUCCUACGGGAGGCAGCAGUGGGGAAUAUUGGACAAUGGGCGCAAGCCUGAUCCAGCCAUGCCGCGUGUGUGAAGAAGGCCCUCGGGUUGUAAAGCACUUUCAGUGGGGAAGAAGGCCUUUCGGCUAAUACCCGGGAGGAGCGACAUCACCCACAGAAGAAGCACCGGCUAACUCCGUGCCAGCAGCCGCGGUAAUACGGAGGGUGCGAGCGUUAAUCGGAAUUACUGGGCGUAAAGCGCGCGUAGGCGGCGUGAUAAGCCGGUUGUGAAAGCCCCGGGCUCAACCUGGGAACGGCAUCCGGAACUGUCAGGCUAGAGUGCAGGAGAGGAAGGUAGAAUUCCCGGUGUAGCGGUGAAAUGCGUAGAGAUCGGGAGGAAUACCAGUGGCGAAGGCGGCCUUCUGGACUGACACUGACGCUGAGGUGCGAAAGCGUGGGUAGCAAACAGGAUUAGAUACCCUGGUAGUCCACGCCGUAAACGAUGUCGACUAGCCGUUGGGGUCCUCGAGACCUUUGUGGCGCAGUUAACGCGAUAAGUCGACCGCCUGGGGAGUACGGCCGCAAGGUUAAAACUCAAAUGAAUUGACGGGGGCCCGCACAAGCGGUGGAGCAUGUGGUUUAAUUCGAUGCAACGCGAAGAAUCUUUACC
Molecule: ribosomal RNA, 932 nt
Filed under: bacterium N10(2011)
Lineage: Bacteria
Description: bacterial SSU rRNA
Rfam family: Bacterial small subunit ribosomal RNA
Source: RNAcentral